AGUCGAGCGGUAGAGAGAAGCUUGCUUCUCUUGAGAGCGGCGGACGGGUGAGUAAUGCCUAGGAAUCUGCCUGGUAGUGGGGGAUAACGUUCGGAAACGGACGCUAAUACCGCAUACGUCCUACGGGAGAAAGCAGGGGACCUUCGGGCCUUGCGCUAUCAGAUGAGCCUAGGUCGGAUUAGCUAGUUGGUGAGGUAAUGGCUCACCAAGGCGACGAUCCGUAACUGGUCUGAGAGGAUGAUCAGUCACACUGGAACUGAGACACGGUCCAGACUCCUACGGGAGGCAGCAGUGGGGAAUAUUGGACAAUGGGCGAAAGCCUGAUCCAGCCAUGCCGCGUGUGUGAAGAAGGUCUUCGGAUUGUAAAGCACUUUAAGUUGGGAGGAAGGGCAGUUACCUAAUACGUGAUUGUUUUGACGUUACCGACAGAAUAAGCACCGGCUAACUCUGUGCC
This 454-nucleotide ribosomal RNA is filed under the name uncultured bacterium. Its description in RNAcentral is "bacterial SSU rRNA". It matches the Rfam family "Bacterial small subunit ribosomal RNA", at positions 60 to 509 of the family's 1533-position model. The record is from RNAcentral.